Molecule: ribosomal RNA, 397 nt
Filed under: Gigaspora rosea
Lineage: Eukaryota; Fungi; Glomeromycota; Glomeromycetes; Diversisporales; Gigasporaceae
Also listed under: 1 other name
Description: LSU rRNA
Rfam family: Eukaryotic large subunit ribosomal RNA
Source: RNAcentral
GGAAAGAUGAAAAGAACUUUGAAAAGAGAGUUAAAUAGUACGUGAAAUUGUUGAAAGGGAAACGAUUGAAGUCAGUCAUGCCUGUGGGAAUCAACUUAGAGGAAACUCUGAGUGCACUUCUUCGCUUGGCAGGUCAACGUCGAUUUUGGAUGUCAUAAAAUGAUUGGGGGAAGGUAGCUCCUUCGGGAGUGUUAUAGCCCUUGGUAGAUGUGAUGUCUGGGAUCGAGGAUUGCAAUGGAUACCCUUUGGAGCUAGCCGUCUGAUCUCUAAUUGGUAUUGGGUUACGGAUAGCAUGCUGACCGUGAUCUAAUUAUUGGUUAAAAGGUUAGAGCGUGCAUAAAUUCAUUAAGGACGUUGACGUAAUGGCUUUAAACGACCCGUCUUGAAACACGGACCA